CAGCCGCCGCGGGAAUACGAAGGGUGCAAGCGUUAAUCGGAAUUACUGGGCGUAAAGCGUGCGUAGGCGGUUUGUUAAGUCUGUUGUAAAAUCCCCGGGCUCAACCUGGGAAUGGCAAUGGAUACUGGCAAGCUAGAGUGUGUCAGAGGAUGGUGGAAUUCCGCGUGUAGCAGCGAAAUGCGUAGAUAUGCGGAGGAACACCGAUGGCGAAGGCAGCCCCCUGGGCCAACACUGACGCUCAUGCGCGAAAGCGUGGGGAGCAAGCAGGAUUAGAUACCCGAGUAGUCCCUGUCUCUUAUAC
RNAcentral lists this ribosomal RNA (301 nucleotides) under uncultured bacterium. Its description in RNAcentral is "partial 16S ribosomal RNA". It matches the Rfam family "Bacterial small subunit ribosomal RNA", at positions 509 to 807 of the family's 1533-position model. The record is from RNAcentral.